UAACACGUGGGUGAUCUGCCUCGUACUCUGGGAUAAGCCUGGGAAACUGGGUCUAAUACCGGAUAUGACCACGAAUCGCAUGGUUUGUGGUGGAAAGAUUUAUCGGUGCGAGAUGGGCCCGCGGCCUAUCAGCUUGUUGGUGGGGUAAUGGCCUACCAAGGCGACGACGGGUAGCCGACCUGAGAGGGUGACCGGCCACACUGGGACUGAGACACGGCCCAGACUCCUACGGGAGGCAGCAGUGGGGAAUAUUGCACAAUGGGCGAAAGCCUGAUGCAGCGACGCCGCGUGAGGGAUGACGGCCUUCGGGUUGUAAACCUCUUUCGACAGGGACGAAGCGCAAGUGACGGUACCUGUAGAAGAAGCACCGGCCAACUACGUGCCAGCAGCCGCGGUAAUACGUAGGGUGCGAGCGUUGUCCGGAAUUACUGGGCGUAAAGAGCUUGUAGGCGGUUCGUCGCGUCGAUUGUGAAAACUUGCAGCUCAACUGCAAGCUUGCAGUCGAUACGGGCGGACUAGAGUACUUCAG
This 529-nucleotide ribosomal RNA is filed under the name Nocardia nova. Its description in RNAcentral is "bacterial SSU rRNA". It matches the Rfam family "Bacterial small subunit ribosomal RNA", at positions 111 to 654 of the family's 1533-position model. The record is from RNAcentral. Lineage: Bacteria; Bacillati; Actinomycetota; Actinomycetes; Mycobacteriales; Nocardiaceae.